CAUGGACAGAGGAGCCUGGCGGGCUGCAGUCCGUGGGGUCGCAGAGUCGUACACGACUGAAGAAAACAGAUGAGCAACUCCUCAUGAAUGUGGAUUAAGGCGGUGAUUUUGUACAGAUUGGUCCCUGCAGGAGGUAUAGAAGACCCUGAAGGAAGAGAACCCAAUAUAGUUCCUUAACAUAACCGGAUUAACUGGACCCUGAGGAAUGAUGGUGUUCGCACUGUUGACCCUCAUGCUCCAAUCAGCCAGGGUCUGGACUUUCUCCACCUUUGCCAGCAUGCUGUGCUGAACUCCUGCUCAAGCCCCUUUGUGAAUACGCGUGCACCUUCACUUACGUCUGCCUCGAUUUUGCUGGUGGGACAGACACCGCUCUGGGAGAGCCUUGGAGCUGUCCCCACUUGCUGCAAGCAACAGGGCCUCCCUUCCCUAGCUCUUUGACUCGGUCGUAUCUUUUGGUUAGACACCCACCAAGGGGCCACCUGAUGCGAACAGCCGACUCAUUGGGAAAGACUCUGAUGCUGGGAAAGACUGAAGGCAGAAGAGGAGGGUGACAGGGAAUGAGCUGGUUGGAUGGCAUCACCGACUCAAUGGACAUGAACUUGGGCGAACUCUAGGACCUGGUGAGGGGCAGGGAGGCCUGGCGUGCUGCAGGCCCGGGGUCAGACACAGCUUGCUGACUGAACAGUAACAAGGGGCCAGUGGAGUCUCCAGAGAGCAGUUUCCCCAAUGUGACACGGAAAGUUCAAGCAACCUAAGAAAAACGUAGACGAGUUGAAAUUCAUCAGAGUUAAAACCUUUUGGGUUCACAGGAUAUCAUCAAAAAGAAAGAAAAAAAUUUAAAUAGAGUAAAAGAUAAAUAAAUAAACAAACGCUAUGAGGAAAGUGGAGAGGGAAUUCUUUGGCAGCCCGGUCAUUAGGACCUGGUGCUUUCACUGUGUGGUGGGGGCUCACUCCCUGGUUAGAGAACUAAGACCCUGCAAGUGGGCGGCACGGUCCCCCCAAAAGUGAAACGAUAGAAAUCCACAAAAUGGGAAAGAGUUUUGCAAAUCCUAUAUCCGAUGAGGAGAUUGUAUCCAGAAUAUGUAAAGAACUUUCAGAACUCAACAACUCAAUUAAAAAACAUGUGAAGAAUCUGAAUAGACA
Molecule: long non-coding RNA, 1143 nt
Organism: Capra hircus (goat)
Lineage: Eukaryota; Metazoa; Chordata; Mammalia; Artiodactyla; Bovidae
Exons: 2
Source: RefSeq, a predicted model, not a curated record